CCUACGGGAGGCAGCAGUGGGGAAUUUUCCGCAAUGGGCGAAAGCCUGACGGAGCAAUACCGCGUGAGGGAGGAAGGCUCUUGGGUCGUAAACCUCUUUUCUCUGGGAAGAUAAUGACGGUACCAGAGGAAUAAGCAUCGGCUAACUCCGUGCCAGCAGCCGCGGUAAUACGGAGGAUGCAAGCGUUAUCCGGAAUGAUUGGGCGUAAAGAGUCCGUAGGUGGUACAGAAAGUCUGUGGUUAAAGCGCGAAGCUCAACUUCGUAAAGGCCAUGGAAACUGCUGAACUAGAGUGAGAUAGGGGUAGAGGGAAUUCUUGGUGUAGCGGUGAAAUGCGUAGAUAUCAAGAAGAACACCGGUGGCGAAAGCGCUCUACUGGAUCUUAACUGACACUGAGGGACGAAAGCUAGGGGAGCGAAAGGGAUUAGAUACCCCUGUAGUCCUAGCCGUAAACGAUGGAUACUAGUUGUUGCGGGUAUCGACCCCUGCAGUGACGAAGCUAACGCGUUAAGUAUCCCGCCUGGGGAGUACGCACGCAAGUGUGAAACUCAAAGGAUUAGACGG
Molecule: ribosomal RNA, 562 nt
Filed under: uncultured bacterium
Lineage: Bacteria
Description: bacterial SSU rRNA
Rfam family: Bacterial small subunit ribosomal RNA
Source: RNAcentral